Molecule: transfer RNA, 66 nt
Filed under: Tettigades limbata
Lineage: Eukaryota; Metazoa; Arthropoda; Insecta; Hemiptera; Cicadidae
Description: tRNA-Asn
Source: RNAcentral
UUAGUUGAAGCCAAAAAAGAAGGCAUUUUAAUGUUAAUAAAAGAAUUGAACUAUGUUCCAACUAAA